UUAUGACUAUAGGAGGUCCCGCCUGCCCCGUGAUUUUAUAUUUAACGGCCGCGGUAUUUUAACCGUGCAAAGGUAGCGCAAUCGCUUGUCUUUUAAAUAAGGACCUGUAUGAAUGGCAUAACGAGGGCUUAACUGUCUCCCCCCUCUAAUCAAUGAAAUUGAUCUCCCCGUGAAGAAGCGGGGAUUAAAAUAUAAGACGAGAAGACCCUGUGGAGCUUUAAACACGCAAGGGGAGCACUUAACAUUUGACUUUUAAAUAGACAAAAACAUGUGUUUACCCCCUACUGUUUUUGGUUGGGGCGACCUCGGGGGAAAAUCCAGCCCCCAUGCGGAGUAAAAGCACCCGCUUUCAAAAUUAAUGAACCUCAGUUCUCUAACACAGAAAAUCUGACCACAAGAUCCGGCAAUGCCGAUCAACGAACCAAGUUACCCCAGGGAUAACAGCGCAAUCCCCUUCCAGAGCCCUUAUCACCAAGGGGGUUUACGACCUCGAUGUUGGAUCAGGACAUCCUAACGGUGCAACCGUCGUUAAGGGUUCGUUUGUUCAACGAUUAAAGUCCUACGUGAUCUGAGUUCAG
Molecule: ribosomal RNA, 578 nt
Filed under: Gobiesox barbatulus (lappetlip clingfish)
Lineage: Eukaryota; Metazoa; Chordata; Actinopteri; Blenniiformes; Gobiesocidae
Description: partial 16S ribosomal RNA
Rfam family: Bacterial large subunit ribosomal RNA
Source: RNAcentral